GUUUUUAUAGUUUAAAAUAAAACAUUGGUCUUGUAAAUCAAAAAUAUUAAUUUAUUUAAAAACU
Molecule: transfer RNA, 64 nt
Filed under: Leptalina unicolor
Lineage: Eukaryota; Metazoa; Arthropoda; Insecta; Lepidoptera; Hesperiidae
Description: tRNA-Thr
Rfam family: tRNA
About the family: Transfer RNA (tRNA) molecules are approximately 80 nucleotides in length.
Source: RNAcentral